RNAcentral lists this ribosomal RNA (413 nucleotides) under uncultured bacterium. RNAcentral describes it as "bacterial SSU rRNA". It matches the Rfam family "Bacterial small subunit ribosomal RNA", at positions 28 to 433 of the family's 1533-position model. The record is from RNAcentral.
GACGAACGCUGGCGGCGUGCUUAACACAUGCAAGUCAUGGGGGCCCGGAACGCGCAAGCUUGGGGCGAACCGGCGAACGGGUGCGUAACACGUGAGCAACCUACCCAGGUGUGGGGGAGUAGCCGUCCCAACGGACGGGUAAUACCGCAUACGCUCGACACGAGGCAUUUCGAGUCGAGGAAACCUUCGGGGCGACCAUGAGGGGCUCGCGGCCUAUCAGCUAGUUGGCGAGGUAACGGCUCACCAAGGCUACGACGGGUAGCUGGUCUGAGAGGAUGACCAGCCACCAUUGGGACGUGAGAAACGGGACCCAGACUCCUACGGGAGGCAGCAGUGGGGAAUCUUGCGCAAUGGCCUAACGGCUGACGCAGCGACGCCGCGUGAGGGAUGACGCUCUUCGGAGUGUAAACCUC